Molecule: ribosomal RNA, 253 nt
Filed under: uncultured bacterium
Lineage: Bacteria
Description: partial 16S ribosomal RNA
Rfam family: Bacterial small subunit ribosomal RNA
Source: RNAcentral
UACGGGGGGAGCAAGCGUUGUUCGGAUUUACUGGGCGUAAAGGGCGCGUAGGCGGCGCAACAAGUCACUUGUGAAAUCUCCGGGCUUAACUCGGAGCGGCCAAGUGAUACUGUCGUGCUAGAGUGCGGAAGGGGCAACUGGAAUUCUCGGUGUAGCGGUGAAAUGCGUAGAUAUCAGGAAGAACACCCGUGGCUAAGGCGGCUCUCUAGUACGGUACUGACGCUGAGACGCGAAAGCGUGGGGAGCGAACAGG